GGAAAGUAUUCAUUGCAUUUUGCAAUAAAGGCAUUAAUGACCUUAGCAAUAGUAAUUGCAACAUCAGAAGAAAAUGGCAGUACCAAGAGUUUGUAUAAUGCAAAAAUUGCUGGUAUUUUUAAGAAAAAGUGGAAUGUGGUGGCUACCAUUUUUUACAUUUUGUCCUCAUAUGCAGAGAGAGCCCUGGUGCCAGGAAUUCACAUUUCUCUUAUCUUUUGGGCUGGAGACUCUCCAGCUAGAAUAAUCAGGGAAGAAAGUCCUAGUUAAAGUUGGUGUUUCUGUUAGAUGCAUUCAUUGUGAGCAAAGUCCUCUGGUGGGAGAGUUCAUUUACUGGGGAGGAUCAGGAAAGGCUUCAUGGAGGCCGUAAUGAUUAAGCUGAACCUCAGAGGUCAGGAGGACUUUAACAGAGGUGGAUGAGCAAGACGGCAAUAUAUUUAGUUUGUAUCAGGAGAAUGGUGUCCGCUUCUGUUCUGCCACUAGCUCUAUUCUCAGGCAUGUCCUGUGACACUUAAUCUGGAUCUGUUUUCUCAUCCUGAAAAUGAAGCAAUAAAUAAAGUUUUAAGCUAUUAAUGUUCUUUAAUUCUAGAUAGGGAGACUGGAAUGUUGGAAGAAAUGCCCAGUGGUUCAGUUUGGCAGAGCCUAAAGAGAGAAACAGCAGAAGACAACAUGGGCGAAGCCUGAAGGAUUGUGUUUCCAAAUGCUUAGGAGGAGAGAGACAAGAGUCUUUUAACCACCCACCGUUGUUCACUGGUGGAGACAGUGUCAUAAAGCACCUAUAGCAGAAAGGCCCCUUUGCCCGCAGCCGUGCCCUACAUUCCUCGAGAGCUGGAAGGCACAAAGCACUGCUUCUGUCCCUGAAGGGGAGACAAGCCACAAACCUUCUUGCUUCCAGCUCUUUAGGAAAAUGAGAAAGAACUUGCUUACCACAGUUCUCUUACAGCGUACCGGGAACCUCUCCUACAAAGGCGGCUGAAACGCCGUUUCUUUCCAGCCCUGAUCUCGCCGCUUUAGAACUUCUGCUUCUGCCACAUUUCCAUCUUGCCAAAGCUGCUCACAACAAACGCCUACAUCUCCCCUUAAGCAAUGGGGCCGAGACCCGGAUCAUGGUACUUUCACAUGCUCACUAGCAGAGGGACAAGACACUUUUAACCAGCCGGCCUAGUGCACUGGUGGAGAGACUGUCAGAAAGCACCUAUGGAAGAAAGGCAACUUCGCUGUCAGCCAUGCUGUACAUUGCUCUAGAGGUGGAAGGCACAAUGCACUGCUUCUGUCCCUGAAAGGGAGACAAGCAGCAAACCUUCUUGCUUCCAGCUCUUUAGGAAGCGGAGAAAGAACUAGCUUUCCACAGUGCUCUUACAGCAUACCGGGAACCUCUCCUACAAAGGUGGCUGAAAUGCUGUUUCUUUCCAGCCCUGAUCACGCCGCUUUACGACUUCUACUUCUGCCACAUUUCCCUCUUGCCAACGGUGCUCACAACAAAUGCCUACCUCUUCCCAUUAAGCAAGGUGGCCGAGGCUUGAACGAUUGUGUUUCCAAAUGGUUAGGAGGAGACACAAGAGGCUUUUAACAACCCACCGUUGUUCACUGGUGGAGACAGUAUCAGAAAGCACCUAUAUCAGAAAGGCCCCUUUGCCCUCAGCCGUGCCCUACAUUACUGUAGAGCUGGAAGUCACAAAGUACUGCUUCUGUCCCUGAAGGGGAGACAAGCCACAAACCAUCUUGCUUCCAGCUCUUUAGGAAGCUGAGAAAGAACUAGCUUUCCACAGUGCUCUUACAGCGUACCAGGAACCUCUCCUACAAAGGCAGCUGAAAUGCCGUUUCUUUCCAGCCCUGAUCUCGCCGCUUUAGAACUUCUGCUUCUGCCACAUUUCCAUCUUGCCAAAGCUGCUCAGACCAAAUGCCUACAUCUUCCCCAUAAGCAACGGGGCCGAGGCCCACAUCAUUGUGCGUCCACAUGCUUACCAGGAGACAGACAAGAGGCUUUUAACCUGCCGGCCCAGUGCACUGGUGGAGAGAUUGUCUGAAAGCACCUAUGGAAGAAAGGCAACUUCGCUGUCAGCCGUGCCCUACAUUGCUCUAGAGGUAGAAGGCACAAGACACGGCCUCCAGCCCUCAAGGGUAGACAAGCCACAAACCGUCUUGCUUGCAGCUCUUUGGGAAGCUGGGAAACAACUCGCUCUCCACAGUGCUCUUACAGCCUACCGGGAACCUCUCCUACAAAGGGCUGUGAAACAAAAUUUCUUUCCAGCCCUGAUCUCGCCACAUUAGAACUUCUGCUCUCAGCCGUGUCCUACAUUGCUCUAGAGGUGGAAGCCACAAAGCAUGGCCUCCAUCCCUCAAAAGGAGACAAACCACAAACUGUCUUGCUUCCAGCUCUUUGGGAAACUGAGAAACAACUUGCUUUCCACAGUGCUCUUACAGUGUACCGGGAACCUCUUCUGCAACGGCAACUGGAACACCAUUUCUUUCCAGCCCUGAUCUCACCGCUGUAGAACUUCUGCUUCUGCCACACUUCCAUCUUGCCAACCCUGCUCUCAACAAAUGCCUACCCCUUCCCCUUCAGCAACACGGCCGAGGCCUGAAGGAUUGCAUUUCCAAAUGCUUAGGAAGAGAGAGACAAGAGCCUUUUAACCACUCACCUUUGUUCAUUGGUGGAGACAGUGUCAGAAAGCACAUAUAGAAGAAAGGCAACUUCGCUCUCAGCCAUGCCCUACAUUGCUCUAGAGGUGGAAGGCACAAGGCACUGCCUGCAGCCCUCCAUUGGAGACAAGCCACAAGCUGUCUUGCUUCCAGCUCUUUAGGAAGCUGAGAAAGAACUCACUUUCCACAGUGCUUUACAGUGUCAUGUGAUUAAAAAGGGAGCAUAAAUGUGGUUUUUUUCCAGCUUCUGAAUCACAGCUAUCACGCUGCUGCUUGUGCCACAUUUCCAUCCUGCUAACCCUGCUCAGACGAAAUGCCUACAUCUUCCUGUUUGGCAACAGGGCCAAGGCCAGAAUGUUGGUGCUUCCACAUGCUUAGGAGGAGCGAAGCAAUAUGCAUUUAACAAACAGCCCUUGUGCAUUGGUAGAGAGAAUCUCCCUCUCCCUCACAGAGAAGAACACUUUCUCCCAGCAGGGCAAAUCAGCAGCAGGAGGGAAACCAUCUCACAGGCGACCUAACAAAUCACUGUAGAGCCAAGACACGUUGUGUCUUGCUUGCUAUCCAUGAGAUCACAAGCAGGAGAAACACUCUUGCUUUUGGCUCUUGGAAAGACUGGAUGAACUCCUGCAGCAUUGCAGUUGCUUUCCUUCAGGGAAGCAUCCCUGGCAAAGAGCAACUGAAUUGUCCACAGGUAGUCAGAAAGCACCUAUCUCGAAAGGCACAUUUGCUGUCAGCUGUGCCCAACAUUGGUUUAGAGCUGGGAUGCACCAAGCAUUCCAUCCAUCGCUCAAGAUAAAAAAAAAAGCCACAAAUUGUCUUGCUUCCAGGUCUUUAGGAAGCUGAGAAAGAACUCUCUUUCCACAGUGCUCUUACAGAGUCAUCUGAUUGAAAAGGCAGCAGAAACGCGGUUUCUUUCCAGCUUCUGAAUCACAGCUAUCACCCUAAUGCUUCAGGCACAUUUCUAUCUUGCUAACUGUGCUCAAAUGAAAUGCCUACAUCUUCCCCUCAAGGAAUGGGGUCGAUGCCAGAACGUUGGUGCGCCCACAUGCUUAGGAGGAGUGAUAAAAUAUGCUUUUAACAAACAGCACUUGUGCAGUGGCAGAGAGAAUCUCCCUCACAGAGAAUAACACUUCCUCCCAGCAGGGCUAAUCAUCAGCCAGAAGGAAGCCGUGUCCUAGGCGACCUAACAAAGCAGUGUAGAGCCAAGAAACAAUGUGUCCUGCUUGCUCUGGGUGAGAUCACGAGCAGGAGAAAUUCUCUUGUUUCUGGCUCUUCCCAAAACCUGGAUGAACUCCUGCAAUAUUGCAAUUGGUUUUGUUCAGGGAAUCGCUCCCCGGCAAAGAGCAACCAAAAUGUCCACAGGCAGUCAGAAAACACCUGUCUCAAAAGGCACAUUUGCUGUCAGGCAUGCCCUUCAUUGCUAUAGAGCUGGGACGCUCAAAAGCAUUCCAUCCAUCCCUCAAGAUAAAACAAGCCACAAACUGUCUUGCUUCCAGCUUUCUAGGAAACUGAGAAAGAACUCCCCUUCCACAGUGUUCUUACAGCGUACAGGCAACAUCUGGUUCAAAAGGCAGCAGAAACAUAGUUUCUUUUCAGAUUCUGAAUCAUGGCUAUUGUGCUACUGCUUGUGCCAUAUUUCCAUCUUGCUAACCCUGCUCAGACGAAAUGCCUACAUUUUGCCCUUUAGCAACAAGGCUGAGGCCAGAACACUGGUGCUUCCAUAUGCUUAUGAGGAGCGAAACAAUAUGCUUUUAACAAAGAGCCCUUGUACACUGGCAGAGAGAAUCUCCCUCAUCUAGAAGAACUCUCCUUCUCAGCAGGGCAAAACAGCAGCCAGAGGCUAACCAUGUCACAGGCCAACUAACAAAGCAGUGUACAGCCAAGACAAAAUGUGUUUUGCUUGCUCUCCAUUAGAUCACAAGCAGGAGAAACACACAUGCUUCUGGCUCUUAGCAAGGCCUGGAUGAACUCCUGCAUGAUUGCAGUUGGUUUCCUUCAUGGAGGCGCUCCCCAUCAAAGAGCAACCAAAAUGUCCAGAGGCAGUCAGAAAGCACCUAUCUCAAAAGGCACAUUUGCUGUCUGCCACCCCAAAUCUUGGUGUAGAGCUGGGACGCACAAAGCAUUCCCUCCGUCCCUCAAGAUAAGACAAGCCACAAACCGUCUUGCUUUCAGCUCUUUUGGAAGCUGAGAAAGAACUCGCUUUCCACAGUGCUCUUAGAGCUUCCCGGCAACGUACCAAAUGAAUAUUACCUUCAAACGAUGAAAGAAUUUUGUGCUGAACUCUGCUUGCAAAUAGUUUUUCAGGAACAUUUCCAUAUAAGACAUCGACCAUUUCACUUCAUGCAUAACAGAGUAUUUAUUACCUGCAUUCAAUGAAAGAACACUGUUUUGAAAUCAGCUUGCUUUUAGGUGUUAUGUAACAUCUUCAUAUAAGUCAUUUCAAGAAUUUGGGUAUAUCAUACUGAACAGCUACCACUUUCAUACAAUGAAAGAACAUCAUAGGUAGCUGUUUAGGAACAUUUUCAUGAAAGACUUAUCAUACACGUCACUGCAGGCAUGACACAAUAUCCAUUCAUUCAAUGAAAAACACUAUUGUGAAACCAGCUUUCUUGUAGCUGAUUGGCAACAUCUUCAGAUAAGGCCUUUCUACUUUCAGUAUAUGCCAUACAGAAUGGCUAAUACUCAGACAUCACUUUCCUAAAAUUAAAGAACGCUGUGCUGAAUCCACCUUGCAGGUAGCUGUUGAGGAACAUCUUCAUGUAAGACUUAUAAAACAUUCACUAUAGCCAUGACAGAAUAUAAGAUAUAUUUACUCAAAUAACAAUGUGGUGAAACUAGAUUGCUUGUAUCUGUUUGGAAAUAUCUUUAUAUAAGGCUCUUCACAUAAGUGUAUGCCAUAAAGAAUGGCUAUCAGGGGCCAGU
Molecule: long non-coding RNA, 5562 nt
Organism: Equus caballus (horse)
Lineage: Eukaryota; Metazoa; Chordata; Mammalia; Perissodactyla; Equidae
Source: Ensembl